Molecule: long non-coding RNA, 1211 nt
Organism: Helicoverpa zea (corn earworm)
Lineage: Eukaryota; Metazoa; Arthropoda; Insecta; Lepidoptera; Noctuidae
Exons: 3
Source: RefSeq, a predicted model, not a curated record
GCGCUCUGCGGGCCUAGCAUGGCGAUUCUAUCUCUAUUCUACCAAGAAACGACAAAGCUCUUUCUUUCCCACUCGACAUGUCUUCUACCCGAGCAUGGCGCGAGCUGUAGACUCGCGUUUCUAUCAAGAGAAAGACUUUCCAUAGCAACGGAUAAGUAGCUAGUGAUGGGUCGCUCUACGAUGAAUUUACGUUUAGUUAGCCAAAAAAAUGUGUCAAUGCACUAUUUUUCACGCAUGAACCUAUACAUAAACUCACGUAACUCAAAGUAACAACAAAACGUAUUCAUCGAACUUAUUUUUAUCUGUGGAACUAAAAUGGUUCAUGUUUGUUUGUUUACAAAAAACGAUUUUUGUUGUUGAUUUUACUUAUUUAAAUAUUGGUGAUUACUGCGUGCGGCAAGGAAAAAGUAAGUAGAUUUUGUGAUUAAAUAAAUAAAGUACUGAUUAUUCCAAUAGUUGUGUGUAAUUAAUCCAAACGAACAUAAUAAUUAUCCAUACAUACGAUGAAAAGAACAAAGGAAAAUAACAUAAUAAUCUCAAUAAAUGGUGAUUGGAGGCAUUGUCUGAUGAAAACUUUGCCAUGCACAGUUCAAUGCGUUCCUCACUGUUAUCUUGCUUCCCUAUAUUAUUGUCCGAAGUGUUUUUACUUUCGUCGUUACAAAACCUGUUUAUUUACAGCGUACGAAGUCCCAUCCAAUAAACAGAGAAGAUAGUAUCGCGAUCCAUUGGGAAAAGAAGGCCACGAUAAAGAAGAAUAGGUCCGUAUUCAAAAGCUGCUGAAAAAAUAUGGAAAAUAACGAGUUCUUGGCAUACAAUGCUGACACGAGAAACAUUCUAUUAAUUACAAAAAAAGGAUGCUGAAUGACAACUGGGUCGUCAGUUUACAAAUUAUAAAUUAUUGAAAUGAUAUCAUUUAAUAAAGAAUGUGAAUAUUAAAAUCAUAAUGGUUGUUUAUUUAAAAUGUCAUUUUUUUCUUAGCAGAUAAAACUGUCCAAUUCUAGAGUCAUAUAGCCUGCGCAGUUUGUUCUUAAUGAGAGAAUUAUUGAAAAUUGAUUGUUUAUGAACUCUGUCAGGAUAAUUGGCAUUUAUGUUCAGUAUUUUGCACUCAGUAUCUACAAUCUGAAAUAGAGGUUAUAUCUAAUAUUAGGUAUACUAACCUUGUAUUCACUGCAAAAACAAAUUGCUUAAAAAAUUUGCUAACAGUGGUUAGU